GAACUUUCCAGAGAUGGAUUGGUGCCUUCGGGAACUGUGAGACAGGUGCUGCAUGGCUGUCGUCAGCUCGUGUUGUGAAAUGUUGGGUUAAGUCCCGCAACGAGCGCAACCCUUAUCCUUUGUUGCCAGCGGUCCGGCCGGGAACUCAAAGGAGACUGCCAGUGAUAAACUGGAGGAAGGUGGGGAUGACGUCAAGUCAUCAUGGCCCUUACGACCAGGGCUACACACGUGCUACAAUGGCGCAUACAAAGAGAAGCGACCUCGCGAGAGCAAGCGGACCUCAUAAAGUGCGUCGUAGUCCGGAUUGGAGUCUGCAACUCGACUCCAUGAAGUCGGAAUCGCUAGUAAUCGUGGAUCAGAAU
RNAcentral lists this ribosomal RNA (362 nucleotides) under Escherichia coli. Its description in RNAcentral is "bacterial SSU rRNA". It matches the Rfam family "Bacterial small subunit ribosomal RNA", at positions 993 to 1355 of the family's 1533-position model. The record is from RNAcentral. Lineage: Bacteria; Pseudomonadati; Pseudomonadota; Gammaproteobacteria; Enterobacterales; Enterobacteriaceae.